RNAcentral lists this ribosomal RNA (469 nucleotides) under Salmonella enterica subsp. enterica serovar Agona. Its description in RNAcentral is "partial 23S ribosomal RNA". It matches the Rfam family "Bacterial large subunit ribosomal RNA", at positions 53 to 561 of the family's 2925-position model. Lineage: Bacteria; Pseudomonadati; Pseudomonadota; Gammaproteobacteria; Enterobacterales; Enterobacteriaceae. The record is from RNAcentral.
AGGACGUGCUAAUCUGCGAUAAGCGCCGGUAAGGUGAUAUGAACCGUUAUAACCGGCGAUUUCCGAAUGGGGAAACCCAGUGUGAUUCGUCACACUAUCAUUAACUGAAUCCAUAGGUUAAUGAGGCGAACCGGGGGAACUGAAACAUCUAAGUACCCCGAGGAAAAGAAAUCAACCGAGAUUCCCCCAGUAGCGGCGAGCGAACGGGGAGGAGCCCAGAGCCUGAAUCAGCAUGUGUGUUAGUGGAAGCGUCUGGAAAGGCGCGCGAUACAGGGUGACAGCCCCGUACACAAAAGCGCAUGUGCUGUGAGCUCGAUGAGUAGGGCGGGACACGUGGUAUCCUGUCUGAAUAUGGGGGGACCAUCCUCCAAGGCUAAAUACUCCUGACUGACCGAUAGUGAACCAGUACCGUGAGGGAAAGGCGAAAAGAACCCCGGCGAGGGGAGUGAAAAAGAACCUGAAACCGUGU